CGGGUGAGUAACACGUAUCCAACCUGCCGAUGACUCGGGGAUAGCCUUUCGAAAGAAAGAUUAAUACCCGAUGGCAUAGUUCUUCCGCAUGGUAGAACUAUUAAAGAACUUCGGUCAUCGAUGGGGAUGCGUUCCAUUAGGUUGUUGGCGGGGUAACGGCCCACCAAGCCUUCGAUGGAUAGGGGUUCUGAGAGGAAGGCCCCCCACAUUGGAACUGAGACACGGUCCAAACUCCUACGGGAGGCAGCAGUGAGGAAUAUUGGUCAAUGGACGAGAGUCUGAACCAGCCAAGUAGCGUGAAGGAUGACUGCCCUAUGGGUUGUAAACUUCUUUUAUACGGGAAUAAAGUGAGGCACGUGUGCCUUUUUGUAUGUACCGUAUGAAUAAGGAUCGGCUAACUCCGUGCCAGCAGCCGCGGUAAUACGGAGGAUCCGAGCGUUAUCCGGAUUUAUUGGGUUUAAAGGGAGCGUAGGCGGACGCUUAAGUCAGUUGUGAAAGUUUGCGGCUCAACCGUAAAAUUGCAGUUGAUACUGGGUGUCUUGAGUACAGUAGAGGCA
RNAcentral lists this ribosomal RNA (557 nucleotides) under uncultured bacterium. RNAcentral's name for it is "bacterial SSU rRNA". It matches the Rfam family "Bacterial small subunit ribosomal RNA", at positions 103 to 659 of the family's 1533-position model. The record is from RNAcentral.